Molecule: ribosomal RNA, 600 nt
Filed under: uncultured Actinomycetes bacterium
Lineage: Bacteria; Bacillati; Actinomycetota; Actinomycetes
Description: bacterial SSU rRNA
Rfam family: Bacterial small subunit ribosomal RNA
Source: RNAcentral
GUGAGGUAAUGGCUCACCAAGGCAUCGACGGGUAGCUGGUCUGAGAGGACGAUCAGCCACACUGGGACUGAGACACGGCCCAGACUCCUACGGGAGGCAGCAGUAGGGAAUCUUGCGCAAUGGGCGAAAGCCUGACGCAGCAAUGCCGCGUGCGGGACGAAGGCCCUAGGGUCGUAAACCGCUUUCAGUAGGGACGAAAAUGACGGUACCUGCACAAGAAACUCCGGCCAACUACGUGCCAUCACCCGCGGUGAUACGUAAGGAGCAAGCGUUGUCCGGAAUUACUGGGCGGAAAGGGCUCGUAUGGGGUUGAGUAAGUCACAUGUGAAAUCUCAUGGCCUAACCCUGACCCUGCAUUUGAUACUGCUCUGACUAGAGUCCGGUAGGGGAGCGUGGAACUCCUGGUGUAGCGGUGAAAUGCGCGCAUAUCAGGAAGAACACCGACAGCGAAGGCAGCGCUCUGGGCCGGUACUGACACUGACGAGCGAAAGCAUGGGUAGCAAACAGGAUUAGAUACCCUGGUAGUCCAUGCCGGAAACGUUGGGCACUAGGUGUGGGGAGAACUCAACUCUCUCCGCGCCGUAGCUAACGCAUUAAGUG